Molecule: ribosomal RNA, 460 nt
Filed under: uncultured bacterium
Lineage: Bacteria
Description: partial 16S ribosomal RNA
Rfam family: Bacterial small subunit ribosomal RNA
Source: RNAcentral
CCUACGGGUGGCUGCAGUGAGGAAUAUUGGUCAAUGGGCGCAAGCCUGAACCAGCCAAGUCGCGUGAGGGAUGACGGUCCUAUGGAUUGUAAACCUCUUUUGUCGGGGAGCAAGACCCGCCACGUGUGGCGGGAAGGAGAGUACCCGAAGAAAAAGCAUCGGCUAACUCCGUGCCAGCAGCCGCGGUAAUACGGAGGAUGCGAGCGUUAUCCGGAUUUAUUGGGUUAAAGGGGUGCGUAGGAGGAAGGUUAAGUCAGCGGUAAAAUGUCGGUGCUCAACACCGGCCUGCCGUUGAAACUGGUCUUAUUGAGUGAGCGAGAGGUAUGCGGAAUGCGUGGUGUAGCGGUGAAAUGCAUAGAUAUCACGCAGAACUCCGAUUGCGAAGGCAGCAUACCGGCGCUCAACUGACGCUGAGGCACGAAAGCGUGGGGAUCGAACAGGAUUAGAUACCCUUGUAGUC